This 428-nucleotide ribosomal RNA is filed under the name uncultured archaeon. RNAcentral's name for it is "bacterial SSU rRNA". It matches the Rfam family "Archaeal small subunit ribosomal RNA", at positions 474 to 903 of the family's 1478-position model. The record is from RNAcentral.
UACCUGCAGCUCGAGUGGUAACCGCUAUUAUUGGGCCUAAAGCGUCCGUAGCCGGUUUGGUAAAUAUCUGGGUAAAUCGUGAGGCUUAACUUCACGAAUUUCGGAUAGACCGCCAGACUUGGGAUCGGGGGAGGUCAGAGGUACUCCAGGGGUAGCGGUGAAAUGUUGUAAUCCUUGGAGGACCACCGGUAGCGAAGGCGUCUGACUAGAACGAGUCCGACGGUGAGGGACGAAGCCCUGGGGCGCAAACCGGAUUAGAUACCCGGGUAGUCCAGGGUGUAAACGAUGUGGGCUUUGUAUUGGAGGUCCCACGUGGGCGUCCAGUGCAGAAGAGAAGUUGUUAAGCCCACGCCUGGGAAGUACGGUCGCAAGGCUGAAACUUAAAGGAAUUGGCGGGGGAGCACAGCAACGGGAGGAGCGUGCGGUUU